Molecule: ribosomal RNA, 407 nt
Filed under: uncultured eukaryote
Lineage: Eukaryota
Description: bacterial SSU rRNA
Rfam family: Eukaryotic small subunit ribosomal RNA (bases 42-407)
Source: RNAcentral
AGUUGUUAUCUGAACCUUCUCGCAUAAAAGGUGGGGGGCGUAAGGUAGCAGUUAGUUUCAUCAUAGUCCACCAGGAUACUCUCGUUGGUGUGUACGUGGGUGUUAACCUUCCUUUUUUCUGGUACUUGCUAUCCAGCAAUGGGUAGUUUGUCCAGAUAGUUUACUUUGAAAAAAUUAGAGUGUUCAAAGCAGGCAUAAUUGGCAUCAUGAAUACAUUAGCAUGGGAUAAUAGAAUAUGACAUUGGUCUUAUUUUGUUGGUUUCUAAGGCCAAAGUAAUGAUUGAUAGGGAUAGUUGGGGCCGCUCGUAUUGAGUUGUCAGAGGUGAAAUUCUAGGAUUUACUCAAGACGAACUAAUGCGAAAGCAUUCGGCAAGGAUGUUUUCAUUAAUCAAGAACGAAAGUUGGGG